GACGAACGCUGGCGGCGUGCUUAACACAUGCAAGUCGAACGGAAAGGCCCUGCUCUUGUGGGGUGCUCGAGUGGCGAACGGGGGAGUAACACGUGAGUAACCUGCCCUUGACUGUGGGAGAACUUCAGGAAACUGGGGCUAAUACCGGAUAGGAGCUCCUGCUGCAUGGGGGGGGUUGGAAAGUUUCGGCGGUGGGGGAUGGACUCGCGGCUUAUCAGCUGGUUGGUGGGGUAGGUGCUUACCAGGGCUUUGACGGGUAGCCGGCCUGGGAGGGUGACCGGCCACAUUGGGACUGAGAUACGGCGCAGACUCCUACGGGAGGCAGCAGUGGGGAAUAUUGCACAAUGGGCGGAAGCCUGAUGCAGCAACGCCGCGUGCGGGAUGACGGCCUUCGGGUUGUAAACCGCUUUCGCCUGUGCCGAAGCGUGAGUGACGGUAAUGGGUAAGGAAGCACCGGCUAACUACGUG
Molecule: ribosomal RNA, 468 nt
Filed under: uncultured bacterium
Lineage: Bacteria
Description: partial 16S ribosomal RNA
Rfam family: Bacterial small subunit ribosomal RNA
Source: RNAcentral